RNAcentral lists this ribosomal RNA (158 nucleotides) under uncultured fungus. Its description in RNAcentral is "5.8S ribosomal RNA". It matches the Rfam family "5.8S ribosomal RNA". Rfam says of the family: 5.8S ribosomal RNA (5.8S rRNA) is a component of the large subunit of the eukaryotic ribosome. It is transcribed by RNA polymerase I as part of the 45S precursor that also contains 18S and 28S rRNA. The record is from RNAcentral. Lineage: Eukaryota; Fungi.
UCACUUUCAACAACGGAUCUCUUGGCUCUCGCAUCGAUGAAGAACGUAGCGAAGUGCGAUAAGUAGUGUGAAUUGCAGAAUUCCGUGAAUCAUCAAAUUUUUGAACGCAAAUUGCACUCCCUGGUAUUCCGGGGAGUAUGCCUGUCUGAGGGUCAGUC